AUACGUAGGGCGCGAGCGUUGUCCGGAAUUACUGGGUGUAAAGGGAGCGUAGGCGGGAGUGCAAGUCAGAUGUGAAAUCCAUGGGCUCAACCCAUGGGCUGCAUUUGAAACUGCAUUUCUUGAGUGAAGUAGAGGUAAGCGGAAUUCCUGGUGUAGCGGUGAAAUGCGUAGAUAUCAGGAGGAACACCGGUGGCGAAGGCGGCUACUGGGCUUUUACUGACGCUGAGGCUCGAAAGCGUGGGGAGCAAACAGGAUUAGAUACCCUGGUAGUCCACGCUGUAAACGAUGAUUACUAGGUGUGGGGGGACUGACCCCUUCCGUGCCGCAGUUAACACAAUAAGUAAUCCACCUGGGGAGUACGGCCGCAAGGUUGAAACUCAAAUGAAUUGACGGGG
This 395-nucleotide ribosomal RNA is filed under the name uncultured bacterium. Its description in RNAcentral is "partial 16S ribosomal RNA". It matches the Rfam family "Bacterial small subunit ribosomal RNA", at positions 523 to 918 of the family's 1533-position model. The record is from RNAcentral.